Molecule: ribosomal RNA, 248 nt
Filed under: uncultured bacterium
Lineage: Bacteria
Description: partial 16S ribosomal RNA
Rfam family: Bacterial small subunit ribosomal RNA
Source: RNAcentral
AGUAACACGUGGGUAACCUGCCUUAUAGUGGGGGAUAGCCUUUCGAAAGGAAGAUUAAUACCGCAUAAGAUUGUAGUAUCGCAUGAUAUAGCAAUUAAAGGAGCAAUUCGCUAUAAGAUGGACCCGCGUCGCAUUAGCUAGUUGGUGAGGUAAUGGCUCACCAAGGCGACGGUGCGUAGCCGACCUGAGAGGGUGAACGGCCACAUUGGGACUGAGACACGGCCCAGACUCCUACGGGAGGCAGCAUG